CUAAGGCUCCAGAGGAAGCCACGGCUAACUCUGUGCCAGCAGCCGCGGUAAUACAGAGGCGGCAAGCGUUGUUCGGAAUUAUUGGGCGUAAAGAGCACGUAGGCGGCCUUGCAAGUCAGUUGUGAAAGCCUUCCGCUUAACGGAAGAAUGCCAGCUGAUACUACAGGGCUUGAGUACGGGAGGGGAGAGUGGAACUUCUGGUGGAGCGGUGAAAUGCGUAGAUAUCAGAAGGAACGCCGGCGGCGAAAGCGACUCUCUGGCCCGAAACUGACGCUGAGUGUGCGAAAGCUAGGGGAGCAAACGGGAUUAGAUACCCCGGUAGUCCUAGCCGUAAG
Molecule: ribosomal RNA, 335 nt
Filed under: uncultured Planctomycetales bacterium
Lineage: Bacteria; Pseudomonadati; Planctomycetota; Planctomycetia; Planctomycetales
Description: bacterial SSU rRNA
Rfam family: Bacterial small subunit ribosomal RNA
Source: RNAcentral